CACUCUGGUUCGAGUCCAGGCUGUAUCACAACCGGCCAUGAUUGGGUGUCCCAUAGGGCGGCGCAUAAUUGACCCAGCGUCGUCCGAGUUUGGCCUGUGAGUGCUGUCAUUGUAAAUAAUAAUUUGUGGUGAAAUGCAUGGUGAUGUAUUUUGUCAACUUCCUCUGCUUACUCCUCCUAGUGGCAGACUUUGCAGUGCCUCCGUUUUCCAACUACCUUGAGCAGCAGUUUGAGAGACUUUGCAGGGAAAAUGCCGUGCAGUGAGGCGUAGGGGAUUGUCCGCAGCAUGACGGCCCCCAGUGGAUGGGCACAGAGGGGUCUGGUGCUCCUCCAGCAGCUCUCUCAUGAGGUUCUCUCUGUACUUUUGGUGGUCCACCUUCCCUGUGGCCGACAUAGUUGCUGUAUGGACAGUGGAGAGGACAUGGACUUCUCGUUUGUCAUGCCACUUUACUGCCAGCUGUUGACUGUUCUCAAACUCCACCUUCCCUCUCUGCAUCUUCCUGCAACCGAAUUCCGACAUCCCCUUCUUGUUCGACCUGACUGUGCCACAGGCCCCUGUGCUGUUAGAGAGCUUAUGCUGGAAGAGUGUGGGACUGCUGUACCAAUUGUCCACAUACAAAGUGUGUCCCUUGCUGAGAUGAGGAGCAAUUAUGGUCAUCACCAUGGACCCGGACACCCCAAGCCCCUCAUAAUGUUGGAUGUGGACCCUGUGUAAACUAUAAUGUCCUGGACAUAUCCUGUCUUUACGUCGCACAUGACAAAGAACUUGAACCCAAACCUGUGCAUAUUGGAGGGAAUAUAUUGACAGAACGCCAGCCUACCUUUCCAUAACAUCAGGGACUCAUCAAUGCAUAGGUCCUUGUAUGGCACAAAGACCUGACCAAAUGCUGAUGUCAGGCUGGUAAGAACAUUUCUUAUUUUGUAUUACGGGUCAUUUAGGUUGGCAGUAGCAUUGUUGACUAAAUGCAGUCAUCACAGCAGAACUAGGUAGCGGUCUUGGGAAAAGAGGGUGUAAUAGAAGGGAGUUGCAAACAUAGCAUCUGUGCUUCAGUAUUCUCUUAGGGAGUUCUUCUUUACUAUCCCCAUGAGAAGGACUGUGACCAGGAAGGUAUACAUUUCAUUAAUUGUGGUUGUCACCCAUUUAGUGAGUUUCCCCCCCAAGCCUGGCUCUCUCUUCUCCUGUAGCUCCAAGGCAUAGUGAUUGGUCUCCUCUACUAUGUCUCCCACCAGCUCCUCUGUCAGAAACAACUUGAAGCACUCUGCCUCAGAUGCAAAUGGUAUGGGGCUUUGCACUCCAGACUGGGACUCAUCAAAGCAAACAGCAGGGCCAGGAAGGGUUAUAUGGCUGGUGGCCUUCCAGCUACCACAGAACUCCUGUACUUCAUCCACUGUCUGUCUGCCUUCAUGACCACCAGCAUCUUCAAAGGGACCUUGGACUUCGUCACUGGACAAGAGGUUCUCAGAUUCAGGGUUCUCAAUGUCUACAAGGUUGGGGGGCAGCUCCUCAAUGGCACUGGCACUGUCAGAAUCUUUUUCCUGACUUUCAUACUCAGUCUCAUUGUCAGAUUUUUUAAAAAUCUCUAGAAUUUCCGCAUGUGUGAGUUGUCUACUUUUGAAAGACAUUGCUAAUGCUACAGCUUAGCUCACUAGCUACAUACAUAAACAACAACACUGAAGGGCUCAGAGUGAGAGGUUACGUGAUUGACUGCUUUCGCGCGCCACUUGUAUCAAUAAAUCACUAUCAGAAAAUGUUUUGUGGUAAUUAUUGAUAUAUUUACUGUUAUUUUCACAUGUUUUCAAGUACCAGUGACAAAUCAUGCAUUCCGAUUCUUGUGUAGAUUGUAAUGGGCACAUAUUAUGUGUGUAAAAUACUUUUUUGAGGGUUGUACUGAUUAUAAUGAGCUAAUCUAAUUCCAGUUGUGUGUGAAGCCAUGUUUGUUGACAUGCAAUGCAUUCUGGGUUUCACAUAAUGCUGGGAUUCACGUCUGUCGGACCAAAGAUGUUAACAAAAUGAGGUGAGUAAGGAUUCACUCAUUUUUUUGAGAACUUCCAGAAAUUAAUGGUGGGAUGUGAACAAUGGUAGACGACACACCCCCUUCAACAUGCAUUCUAUUUACAGACCAAACUCGUCUUCUCUUAUCUUUGGUUUCUGUGAGCAAAAAUAGCAUAGCAGCGCACAGAAACUACCCAUAGUCGGAUUACUUUCAAUUUUUGGAGAAUGUUUUACUCAAUUAUUUAGAUCAAUAGUGAGCUCACCUGUGAUGUGAUGAAUUAUAAAUAGUCAUUUCUAUUAGCUAAUUCAUAUUGUAGUUUCUGUCAGUCGAGAGUACAACUCGACAUGACCGUUUGUGUUAUAGCGCGAGGACAAAUGUAGCCUACAUUUUUACGGUUUGGAUGAUUGUGUUAUGCUGUAGAUAUUUCUGUGAAUGUCUGAAC
Long non-coding RNA from Oncorhynchus tshawytscha (Chinook salmon), 2435 nucleotides. The record is from Ensembl. NCBI's taxonomy places the organism in Eukaryota, Metazoa, Chordata, Actinopteri, Salmoniformes, Salmonidae.